GUUGUUGGGAAAGUUGAAAAAGAAAGAGAAAGCAUUGAGCUAAUGUGUUGAGCAAAAGUGAAAAAGAUAGAAAAAGAUGAAAAAGAUAGAAUGAACGAAAGAUAAGCUCAAUGAAAAAAGGGGAAAGUUGGGAGUAAGAUUGAUUGGUUAAAAAGAGAGUUUGUGCUUGAAUUAUGAAUGUAUAAAUAACUCUCUUAACUCAAGGGUUUUGUGAUCUAGAAAAACCAAUUUUUCUUGUUAGCCCAAUCCACAUUAUAAGCCUUGAAAAUGUCCUUGUGAUGACAUGUGUGUGUGAGAAUGUUGAUUGUGGUAAA
Molecule: long non-coding RNA, 314 nt
Filed under: Vigna radiata
Lineage: Eukaryota; Viridiplantae; Streptophyta; Magnoliopsida; Fabales; Fabaceae
Description: long non-coding RNA (VRAD_LNC006649)
Source: RNAcentral